ACAACAUUCGGACCGUCGGUCUACCGAGCAAGAUCACUCGCACGGUGGAAGAUCUUCCUUUCGUCGU
This 67-nucleotide microRNA precursor is filed under the name Bombyx mori (domestic silkworm). RNAcentral describes it as "mir-2774 microRNA precursor family". It matches the Rfam family "mir-2774 microRNA precursor family". Lineage: Eukaryota; Metazoa; Arthropoda; Insecta; Lepidoptera; Bombycidae. The record is from Rfam by way of RNAcentral.